CCUACCGCCAACAAGUAUUCACAUGCUGGAUUUUAUUGAGAUUAUCCCUGCAGUUAUUUGAUAUCAGUCAGGUUCAAUACCCCUCUGCUAAUGAGGUAGCAUGAUUCUACCUCUUAAACCCAAAAGAAGCUAUUGUUACUUGAGUUUAUCCCUCAAAACAUGAUUGCCCAUAGGAAUCAUCCAUUUUUUCAUAUUGAGAAACCACCAUAUCCAGCCAUAUGUUCAUUGUUAAGCCUUCAUAAUUUAACUCAACUAUCCAACUUGAAAGCUUAAUUAUCCAACUUCAAAACAUUGCCAAUUUUUGGAUGAAUCAGUGAUCCAACUUAGGGAUGGCAAUCAGGUCGGGUCAAGUCAUAAACGGAUCGGCUCAGAUGCAGAUCGGGUCAGAAAAGCCCAAACAUGAAUCAGACCUGUUUACUAAAUAAGCCAGAUUUUGAAAUCUGAACCUAUCCAAUUUAAUAAACCGGCAAUCCGACUCGACCUGUUUAACUUGUUUAAUAAACAGGAACCCAUUUAUCCAACCCGGCCUGUUUAACUUGUUUAUCCAAGGUCUUGGACUCUUGGCCCAAUACUGUUGGACCUGUUAACCCAACCCAAAAUCUAACCUGUUUAACCUGUUAAUCUAACUUGUUUAAUAGAUAAACCUGCCAGUAAUAGGCUGUUGCAUAAAAGGACAAAAUCUGAAAUAUGAAC
Molecule: long non-coding RNA, 693 nt
Filed under: Elaeis guineensis (African oil palm)
Lineage: Eukaryota; Viridiplantae; Streptophyta; Magnoliopsida; Arecales; Arecaceae
Description: long non-coding RNA (EGUI_LNC077405)
Source: RNAcentral